UGGCUGUCGUCAGCUCGUGUCGUGAGAUGUUGGUUAAGUCCGUAACGAGCGCAACCCUUGUCCUUAGUUACCAGCACGUAAUGGUGGGCACUCUAAGGAGACUGCCGGUGACAAACCGGAGGAAGGUGGGGAUGACGUCAAGUCAUCAUGGCCCUUACGGCCAGGGCUACACACGUGCUACAAUGGUCGGUACAGAGGGUUGUCAAGCCGCGAGGUGGAGCUAAUCUCACAAAAACCGAUCGUAGUCCGGAUCGCAGUCUGCAACUCGACUGCGUGAAGUCGGAAUCGCUAGUAAUCGUGAAUCAGAAUGUCACGGUGAAUACGUUCCCGGGCCUU
Molecule: ribosomal RNA, 336 nt
Filed under: uncultured Pseudomonadaceae bacterium
Lineage: Bacteria; Pseudomonadati; Pseudomonadota; Gammaproteobacteria; Pseudomonadales; Pseudomonadaceae
Description: bacterial SSU rRNA
Rfam family: Bacterial small subunit ribosomal RNA
Source: RNAcentral